AAAAAGCGGAGGAAAAGAAACCAACAGGGAUUGCUCUAGUAACGGCGAGUGAAGCAGCAAUAGCUCAAAUUUGAAAUCUGGCGUCUUCGACGUCCGAGUUGUAAUUUGUAGAGGAUGCUUCUGAGUGGCCACCGACCUAAGUUCCUUGGAACAGGACGUCAUAGAGGGUGAGAAUCCCGUAUGCGGUCGGAAAGGCGCUCUAUACGUAGCUCCUUCGACGAGUCGAGUUGUUUGGGAAUGCAGCUCUAAAUGGGAGGUAAAUUUCUUCUAAAGCUAAAUAUUGGCCAGAGACCGAUAGCGCACAAGUAGAGUGAUCGAAAGAUGAAAAGCACUUUGGAAAGAGAGUUAAAAAGCACGUGAAAUUGUUAAAAGGGAAGGGAUUGCAACCAGACUUGCUCGCGGUGUUCCGCCGGUCUUCUGACCGGUCUACUCGCCGCGUUGCAGGCCAGCAUCGUCUGGUGCCGCUGGAUAAGACUUGAGGAAUGUAGCUCCCUCGGGAGUGUUAUAGCCUCUUGUGAUGCAGCGAGCGCCGGGCGAGGUCCGCGCUUCGGCUAGGAUGCUGGCGUAAUGGUCGUAAUCCGCCCGUCUUGAAACCACGGACCA
This 603-nucleotide ribosomal RNA is filed under the name Cladosporium ramotenellum. Its description in RNAcentral is "eukaryotic LSU rRNA". It matches the Rfam family "Eukaryotic large subunit ribosomal RNA", at positions 45 to 668 of the family's 3401-position model. Lineage: Eukaryota; Fungi; Ascomycota; Dothideomycetes; Cladosporiales; Cladosporiaceae. The record is from RNAcentral.